Molecule: ribosomal RNA, 216 nt
Filed under: uncultured bacterium
Lineage: Bacteria
Description: partial 16S ribosomal RNA
Rfam family: Bacterial small subunit ribosomal RNA
Source: RNAcentral
UACGUAGGGUGCAAGCGUUGUCCGGAAUUAUUGGGCGUAAAGAGCUCGUAGGCGGUUUGUUGCGUCGGCUGUCGAAAUCCCGGAGGCUCAACCUCGGGUCUGCAGUCGAUACGAGCAAACUAGAGUGUUGCAGGGGAGACUGGAAUUCCUGGUGUAGCGGUGAAAUGCGCAGAUAGUCAGGAGGAACACCGGUGGCGGAAGGCGGGUCUCUGGGGC